RNAcentral lists this ribosomal RNA (447 nucleotides) under uncultured soil bacterium. RNAcentral's name for it is "bacterial SSU rRNA". It matches the Rfam family "Bacterial small subunit ribosomal RNA", at positions 26 to 475 of the family's 1533-position model. The record is from RNAcentral.
AGAUUGAACGCUGGCGGCAUGCCUUACACAUGCAAGUCGAACGGUAGAGGGAGCAAUCCUUCGAGAGUGGCGAACGGGUGAGUAAUAUAUCGGAACGUGCCCAGUCGUGGGGGAUAACGUAGAGAAAUUUACGCUAAUACCGCAUACGAUCUAAGGAUGAAAGCGGGGGACCUCGCAAGGGGCCUCGCGCGAUUGGAGCGGCUGAUAUCAGAUUAGGUUGUUGGUGAGGUAAAAGCUCACCAAGCCGACGAUCUGUAGCUGGUUUGAGAGGACGACCAGCCACACUGGGACUGAGACACGGCCCAGACUCCUACGGGAGCAGCAGUGGGAAUUUGGACAGUGGGGAACCUGAUCAGCCAUCCCGCGUGUGCGAGUGAAGGCCUUGGGUUAGUAAGCUACUUUGGCAGGGAAGAACGGCGUACCCCGUAAGUACCGGGCGUCCGACGU